Molecule: ribosomal RNA, 253 nt
Filed under: uncultured bacterium
Lineage: Bacteria
Description: partial 16S ribosomal RNA
Rfam family: Bacterial small subunit ribosomal RNA
Source: RNAcentral
UACGUAGGGUGCGAGCGUUGUCCGGAUUUAUUGGGCGUAAAGAGCUCGUAGGCGGCUUGUCGCGUCGACUGUGAAAUCCCGCGGCUCAACUGCGGGUCUGCAGUCGAUACGGGCAGGCUAGAGUUCGGUAGGGGAGAUCGGAAUUCCUGGUGUAGCGGUGAAAUGCGCAGAUAUCAGGAGGAACACCGGUGGCGAAGGCGGAUCUCUGGGCCGAUACUGACGCUGAGGAGCGAAAGCGUGGGGAGCGAACAGG